Molecule: ribosomal RNA, 468 nt
Filed under: uncultured bacterium
Lineage: Bacteria
Description: partial 16S ribosomal RNA
Rfam family: Bacterial small subunit ribosomal RNA
Source: RNAcentral
GACGAACGCUGGCGGCGUGCUUAACACAUGCAAGUCGAACGGAAAGGCCCUGCUUUUGUGGGGUGCUCGAGUGGCGAACGGGUGAGUAACACGUGAGUAACCUGCCCUUGACUUUGGGAUAACUUCAGGAAACUGGGGCUAAUACCGGAUAGGAGCUCCUGCUGCAUGGUGGGGGUUGGAAAGUUUCGGCGGUUGGGGAUGGACUCGCGGCUUAUCAGCUUGUUGGUGGGGUAGUGGCUUACCAAGGCUUUGACGGGUAGCCGGCCUGAGAGGGUGACCGGGCACAAUGGGAAUGGAGUACCGCCCCGAACCCCACCGGAGGGAGCAGUGGGGAAUAUUGCACAAUGGGCGGAAGCCUGAUGCAGCAACGCCGCGUGCGGGAUGACGGCCUUCGGGUUGUAAACCGCUUUCGCCUGUGACGAAGCGUGAGUGACGGUAAUGGGUAAAGAAGCACCGGCUAACUACGUG